Molecule: long non-coding RNA, 269 nt
Organism: Poecile atricapillus (Black-capped chickadee)
Lineage: Eukaryota; Metazoa; Chordata; Aves; Passeriformes; Paridae
Exons: 3
Source: RefSeq, a predicted model, not a curated record
GUUGUUUAAUUCCUACCCAUUCCUUGGAUUUCUCCUCCAACCUCCCAAGAUGAUGUUGAAAAAGGUAGAUGAGACCAUGAUGCUCCUGCGCUCCCCUUGUUGUGGCUGGCACUCAAAGAGCAUCCACAGCACUGCAAUGGGGCCAUCCUGCUGCUGCUGAGGGACCCUCAGAUUCAAAGGCACAGCACAAACCAGGUGAGGCAUGGGAGUCAGGGUAAAGCCAACAUCAGCAGUGAGAUCCAGGUCUGACUUAUCCACUCCUGGAGGAG